This 252-nucleotide ribosomal RNA is filed under the name uncultured Lactobacillus sp. RNAcentral's name for it is "partial 16S ribosomal RNA". It matches the Rfam family "Bacterial small subunit ribosomal RNA", at positions 109 to 355 of the family's 1533-position model. Lineage: Bacteria; Bacillati; Bacillota; Bacilli; Lactobacillales; Lactobacillaceae. The record is from RNAcentral.
AGUAACACGUGGGCAACCUGCCCUGAAGCGGGGGAUAACAUCUGGAAACAGGUGCUAAUACCGCAUAACAACGAAAACCACAUGGUUUUCGUUUCAAAGAUGGUUUCGGCUAUCACUUCAGGAUGGGCCCGCGGUGCAUUAGCUAGUUGGUAAGGUAACGGCUUACCAAGGCAAUGAUGCAUAGCCGAGUUGAGAGACUGAUCGGCCACAAUGGAACUGAGACACGGUCCAUACUCCUAGGAGGCAGCAGUC